This 44-nucleotide transfer RNA is filed under the name Nothopoda sp. Its description in RNAcentral is "tRNA-Ser". The record is from RNAcentral. Lineage: Eukaryota; Metazoa; Arthropoda; Arachnida; Trombidiformes; Eriophyidae.
UUUGAAGAAAAAAGAAGCUUCUAAUUUCUAUUAAAAUCUUCUUU